RNAcentral lists this ribosomal RNA (274 nucleotides) under uncultured bacterium. RNAcentral's name for it is "partial 16S ribosomal RNA". It matches the Rfam family "Bacterial small subunit ribosomal RNA", at positions 523 to 796 of the family's 1533-position model. The record is from RNAcentral.
AUACGGAGGGUGCAAGCGUUGUCCGGAUUUAUUGGGUUUAAAGGGUGCGUAGGCGGAUUAUUAAGUCAGUGGUGAAAUCCAACAGCUCAACUGUUGAACUGCCAUUGAAGCUGAUAGUCUUGAGUAUCGUUGAGGUAGGCGGAAUUUAUGAUGUAGCGGUGAAAUGCAUAGAUAUCAUAAAGAACACCAAUAGCGUAAGCAGCUUACUAAACGAUAACUGACGCUGAGGCACGAAAGCAUGGGUAGCGAACAGGAUUAGAAACCCUAGUAGUCC